GCAACGCGAAGAACCUUACCUGGUCUUGACAUCCACAGAACUUUCCAGAGAUGGACUGGUGCCUUCGGGAACUGUGAGACAGGUGCUGCAUGGCUGUCGUCAGCUCGUGUUGUGAAAUGUUGGGUUAAGUCCCGCAACGAGCGCAACCCUUAUCCUUUGUUGCCAGCGAUUAGGUCGGGAACUCAAAGGAGACUGCCAGUGAUAAACUGGAGGAAGGUGGGGAUGACGUCAAGUCAUCAUGGCCCUUACGACCAGGGCUACACACGUGCUACAAUGGCGCAUACAAAGAGAAGCGACCUCGCGAGAGCAAGCGGACCUCAUAAAGUGCGUCGUAGUCCGGAUUGGAGUCUGCAACUCGACUCCAUGAAGUCGGAAUCGCUAGUAAUCGUGGAUCAGAAUGCCACGGUGAAUACGUUCCCGGGCCUUGUACACACCGCCCGUCACACCAUGGGAGUGGGUUGCAAAAGAAGUAGGUAGCUUAACCUUCGGGAGGGCGCUUACCACUUUGUGAUUCAUGACUGGGGUGAAGUCGUAACAAGGUAACCGUAGGGGAACCUGC
Molecule: ribosomal RNA, 559 nt
Filed under: Salmonella enterica subsp. enterica serovar Bovismorbificans
Lineage: Bacteria; Pseudomonadati; Pseudomonadota; Gammaproteobacteria; Enterobacterales; Enterobacteriaceae
Description: bacterial SSU rRNA
Rfam family: Bacterial small subunit ribosomal RNA
Source: RNAcentral